RNAcentral lists this ribosomal RNA (1372 nucleotides) under uncultured bacterium. RNAcentral describes it as "bacterial SSU rRNA". It matches the Rfam family "Bacterial small subunit ribosomal RNA", at positions 28 to 1381 of the family's 1533-position model. The record is from RNAcentral.
GAUGAACGCUGGCGGCGUGCCUAAUACAUGCAAGUCGAGCGAACAGACGAGGAGCUUGCUCCUUUGACGUUAGCGGCGGACGGGUGAGUAACACGUGGGUAACCUACCUAUAAGACUGGGAUAACUUCGGGAAACCGGAGCUAAUACCGGAUAAUAUUUCGAACCGCAUGGUUCGAUAGUGAAAGAUGGCUUUGCUAUCACUUAUAGAUGGACCUGCGCCGUAUUAGCUAGUUGGUAAGGUAACGGCUUACCAAGGCAACGAUACGUAGCCGACCUGAGAGGGUGAUCGGCCACACUGGAACUGAGACACGGUCCAGACUCCUACGGGAGGCAGCAGUAGGGAAUCUUCCGCAAUGGGCGAAAGCCUGACGGAGCAACGCCGCGUGAGUGAUGAAGGUCUUCGGGUCGUAAAACUCUGUUAUUAGGGAAGAACAAACGUGUAAGUAACUGUGCACGUCUUGACGGUACCUAAUCAGAAAGCCACGGCUAACUACGUGCCAGCAGCCGCGGUAAUACGUAGGUGGCAAGCGUUAUCCGGAAUUAUUGGGCGUAAAGCGCGCGUAGGCGGCUUUUUAAGUCUGAUGUGAAAGCCCACGGCUCAACCGUGGAGGGUCAUUGGAAACUGGAAAACUUGAGUGCAGAAGAGGAAAGUGGAAUUCCAUGUGUAGCGGUGAAAUGCGCAGAGAUAUGGAGGAACACCAGUGGCGAAGGCGACUUUCUGGUCUGUAACUGACGCUGAUGCGCGAAAGCGUGGGGAUCAAACAGGAUUAGAUACCCUGGUAGUCCACGCCGUAAACGAUGAGUGCUAAGUGUUAGGGGGUUUCCGCCCCUUAGUGCUGCAGCUAACGCAUUAAGCACUCCGCCUGGGGAGUACGACCGCAAGGUUGAAACUCAAAGGAAUUGACGGGGACCCGCACAAGCGGUGGAGCAUGUGGUUUAAUUCGAAGCAACGCGAAGAACCUUACCAAAUCUUGACAUCCUUUGACCCUUCUAGAGAUAGAAGUUUCCCCUUCGGGGGACAAAGUGACAGGUGGUGCAUGGUUGUCGUCAGCUCGUGUCGUGAGAUGUUGGGUUAAGUCCCGCAACGAGCGCAACCCUUAAGCUUAGUUGCCAUCAUUAAGUUGGGCACUCUAAGUUGACUGCCGGUGACAAACCGGAGGAAGGUGGGGAUGACGUCAAAUCAUCAUGCCCCUUAUGAUUUGGGCUACACACGUGCUACAAUGGACAAUACAAAGGGCAGCGAAACCGCGAGGUCAAGCAAAUCCCAUAAAGUUGUUCUCAGUUCGGAUUGUAGUCUGCAACUCGACUACAUGAAGCUGGAAUCGCUAGUAAUCGUAGAUCAGCAUGCUACGGUGAAUACGUUCCCGGGUCU